AUAUAAAGAUUAANCUUUUUUUAGAA
Molecule: transfer RNA, 26 nt
Filed under: Timarcha punctella
Lineage: Eukaryota; Metazoa; Arthropoda; Insecta; Coleoptera; Chrysomelidae
Description: partial transfer RNA-Leu
Source: RNAcentral